UGCCUACGGGGGGCUGCAGUGGGGAAUUUUGGACAAUGGGCGCAAGCCUGAUCCAGCGACGCCGCGUGGAGGACGAAGGCCUUCGGGUUGUAAACUCCUUUUGGAGGGGAAGAAUAAAUUGACGGUACCCUCAGAAAAAGCCACGGCUAACUACGUGCCAGCAGCCGCGGUAAUACGUAGGUGGCGAGCGUUACUCGGAAUUACUAGGCGUAAAGCGUAUGUAGGUGGUUAGAUAAGUCUAUGGUGAAAUUUCCUGGCUUAACUGGGAAGGGACAUAGAUACUAUCUGGCUUGAGUGUGGGAGGGGGAGACGGAAUUCCUGGUGUAGCGGUGAAAUGCGUAGAUAUCAGGAGGAACACCGAUGGCGAAAGCAGUCUCCUGGCCCAAUACUGACACUGAGGUACGAAAGCUAGGGUAGCAAACAGGAUUAGAUACCCGUGUAGUCUU
RNAcentral lists this ribosomal RNA (446 nucleotides) under uncultured Endomicrobiia bacterium. RNAcentral describes it as "bacterial SSU rRNA". It matches the Rfam family "Bacterial small subunit ribosomal RNA", at positions 335 to 797 of the family's 1533-position model. The record is from RNAcentral. Lineage: Bacteria; Pseudomonadati; Elusimicrobiota; Endomicrobiia.